This 768-nucleotide ribosomal RNA is filed under the name uncultured Bacillota bacterium. RNAcentral describes it as "bacterial SSU rRNA". It matches the Rfam family "Bacterial small subunit ribosomal RNA", at positions 70 to 842 of the family's 1533-position model. The record is from RNAcentral. Lineage: Bacteria; Bacillati; Bacillota.
AAAAGGGGGGCAACUCCCUGAGUACAGCGGCGCACGGGUGAGUAACACGUGGGUAAUCUGCCCUGAAGUGGGGAAUAACACCGGGAAACCGGUGCUAAUACCGCAUACAAUCGCGAGGUCUGCGGAUUUUGCGAUAAAAGGAGCAAUUCGCUUUAGGAGGAGCCCGCGGCUGAUUAGCUAGUUGGUGAGGUAAUGGCUCACCAAGGCAACGAUCAGUAUCCGGUCUGAGAGGACGGUCGGACACACUGGAACUGAGACACGGUCCAGACUCCUACGGGAGGCAGCAGUGGGGAAUUUUUGGCAAUGGGGGCAACCCUGACCAAGCAACGCCGCGUGGGUGAUGAAGUCUCUUGGGACGUAAAACCCUUUCGACGGGGAAGAAAACCGCAAGGUUUGACGGUACCCGUAGAAGAAGCCCCGGCUAACUCCGUGCCAGCAGCCGCGGUAAUACGGGGGGGGCAAGCGUUGUUCGGAAUUACUGGGCGUAAAGGGCGCGUAGGCGGUCCGCUAAGUUAGAUGUGAAAACUCUGGGCUCAACCCAGAGCCUGCAUCUAAUACUGACGGGCUAGAGUUCUGGAGGGGGUAGCGGAAUUCCUGGUGUAGCGGUGAAAUGCGUAGAUAUCAGGAGGAACACCGGUGGCGAAGGCGGCUACCUGGACAGAAACUGACGCUGAGGCGCGAAAGCUAGGAGAGCAAACAGGAUUAGAUACCCUGGUAGUCCUAGCCCUAAACGAUGGAUACUUGGUGUGACUGGGAUUGAAUCCAGUC